Long non-coding RNA from Colius striatus (speckled mousebird), 2366 nucleotides. RefSeq lists it as uncharacterized. The record is from RefSeq and is a predicted model, not a curated record. NCBI's taxonomy places the organism in Eukaryota, Metazoa, Chordata, Aves, Coliiformes, Coliidae. The transcript has 2 exons.
GAGCCGCCGUCCCGCCCGCCGCGCCCUUAAAGGGACGGGACGGCGCCGCGCGGGCCCGGGGCGGGCUUGGGGCCGCGGAGUCCUCGGCGGCGCCCCGCGCACACCCCGCACCCGCCCCGCACCCCAGCCCCGGCGCUCACCGCGGCCCCGGCGCGACAGCCACGCGACUUCAUUUGCUCAAAAGGCUGCUGGAAACGCUCCUUGUUCCCCGGGCUCCUUCACGUGUGGCCACACCUCACUGCUGCUCUUGGCUGACGCCCACCAGACGUAUUCCCAGACACGCUGUGGGUCCCCUUCUCCUACCUACACGUGCAGGCGAUGGAUUCCACCACUCCAAGGUGGAGUUUGGGGCAAGUUGAUGGGAAGCCCCCCUGGUCUCACAGAUCUGGGAUGAAAGGCCAAUAGAACCCACAGUGGAAGCAUCAGAGAUGCCAACUAGCAUUUUCUGCUCAUGAGGUGCAAAGAUGCUGCAAGCACAAGCCCCUUCCCAGCCUGUGUGCCAUUGCCCACCCUUGUCUUCUGUCCCAAAGGGCAGUCGACCUCCUCUGUCCCUGUGCCAUGGGAGACACCAGCUUUGUCAUCACCUUCCCUUGACACAGGCUUGAGAUCUAAAUAGAAGGGGAUAAAAAUAGUGUUUGUGUCCAGAUGAUUAAACCAAAGUCCAUAAAACUGCUUGUUUUCCACCAGCUUGCCAUUAGCAGCAGCAGGGCUUUUGCCAUCCCAGUAGUCAGUGGUUGUGUGCUCAAUGCUGUGUGUGGAAAGUAACCCCAGGCAUCAGCAGUAAUGCUGUGCAUCAGUUACUAUCUGCUGGCACGAUAACGAGCCAUAACAUGAUCCUCUAUGUUUAGAAAUAAAUAGUUCAAGCUGCCUCAGAGCUUCUGAGUGGGGAAAACAUAAUAACAGAGGAGUAUGGCACUGCUGGUAGGUGCUCUCCAGGAGCACACAGGUGAGACCAGAGCAUCAGGGGCUGGGCUCACCCCGUGUCCUGCACCAGCCUCCAGCGUUCCCUGACAGAUUGUGCACCUCCAGCUUCUCACAUGUGCAUAAAACCCACUGAGCACUUGGGGCUUCACAUCCCCGGGACCACAUGUCUCAUGGGAAUGAUUGCAUGUGCUAGUUCCAUAAGGGCGCUACAAGGUCAGGACUUGCAGGAGCAGAAAGCACUGUGGUACUGCAGUGGCAAGGUCUGUAGGAACCUAUGUCAUCUCCAAAUUCAUCCUUUUUAUCUGUUCACCCAGAACACCCAAAAUCUUGAGUCUGAAGAUGUUCCUCCUGCUCUUCGAAUUCUUCUUGGUCCUACUGCUUUGAGCAGUGCAGUGAAAUUGAUAAUGGAUACCUGUGCAUGCAGAGGCUGAGGUGUGUUUGUGACUCUGUAGUGAAAGUUUCCAUCUCACGUCCUAUUUGCAGUUCUCCAUUGAACAUCAUUGAUAAAAAGCUAGUUGUUUUCACUUGAUGUUUUUCAGGCCUGGGUUCACCCUCCAGAACUGCUCUUAGUUCCUAAAAAUGAAAAUACGACAUUGUGAGUUAUCCUCCUGUAAGGGCUGUUCUCCUUUUUGUGUUUCUCAUGUUGUUUGUGAGCCUGGAAACACCCUUUUUCUACAUCUUUCACAUGCGCAAGCGUUACUUCCUCUUGCACCUAAUUGCAGAUGUUCCUCAUCGGGAAGUGGCUCAUCCUUAGCAAGACUUUAGGGCACAAAGCAAGGACAGUGUUUUUUCCUGGCUGAGAUAAAAGUCACAUUGCUGUAAGGCUGUCACUUGUAGAACUGAAGGCAUUAGGAAGCAGACUCGUUUCUUCUACCACUCAAUUGCAACAUGAGAAUUUCUGCAGAUUGCCACGUUCGUGAGCAGCAGCAGCAGGGGUUAUUUCCAGCUAAGCCUGUUGAAAUGCUUUUUGAUCAUUUAUAAUCAGGUUCUUCACGGUAAAAACUGAAACAGCAGAAAGAACUUUGCAUCCAAACAACGAUCAACAGACAGCAGGGCAUGAGGAUAGAGUUGGAGCUCCAGAAAUUAGUCUUUUAUUCCGUUGAGCUCUGGUUUUGUUCCUGGUGAGGAGAGUCCCAGACGAGAACAGACAAACCCUCAGGAAACGUCGCUGUCGGUGCAGAUUGGUUUUGGCUGCUCUGCUCUUUCUUUGUGUGCUGCUGUGGUUAUGGGACGGCCUGGGACACCUCCCAUGAGUAUGAAAGGUGGCCAAAAAGCAGAGGUCAAGCCUGAAAUAACAGAGGACAGUGUGCUCUUCAACUGACAGCUUUUAAUGUGAGAACAGUCAUUCAGCACUGGCAUUUCUGCUGCACUGAUUGCCAUUAGUGUCAUCCUUGUGGGAACAAUAAAUUCAUUGCAAACCUUGAAUUAGGGAUCUGUCGUAA